UAAUAUUUACAAAGAUAAGUGGGCUCGUACUUAGCCCAUGGGUCCGAAAUCUACCCUAAGGCUCAUAAGAACCCUAGGGCCUUCUCUUGCAUCUCUAGCCCAAUCUCCUUGGAGUUUUCUAUCCAAUACCCUUGCGGGGUAGGAUUGCAUCAUUCCCUCCCCCUUGAAAAGGAUUUGACCUCAAAUCUCGAGGUUCUUGAAACUCUGGGCUUUUUUCCUCAACACCUGUAAAAAGAACAAAAACAUAUGUAUUAGUGGUGUUUAGUAUGUUGAAGUAAGGUAAGGUCUGAAAACUCAUUUCCUGGGCAUCUUCCCAUGAAGGAACAUGGUUCCUCACCAACUCAAUGAGUGGUGCUACAAUUAUAGAAAAAUAUGGGGCAAACCUUUUGUAAAAGUUUGUUAAGUCUUGGAAGCCCCAAAUUUUUCUUACACUUGGUGGAGCGGGCCACUCAGGAAUGACCUUUAUUCUCUUAGGGUUCAUGGGAACCCCUUGAUCACAUUUUAAAAAAUUAAGAAAAGUAAAGCAAUAAAACAUACAUUUUUCUGUAUUUUCAUGUUGAUUAUUCCUACCAAAAAGUAUGACAAACCUAAGGUGUCCCAUAUGAGUGCCUAAGUUUGUAUUGAAACUAAAAAUAAGAACAAACCUACCCAAUGAGUCCCUAUGUACACAAAUCAUGAAGAUUUUGGGUGCACGAGUGAUUUUACAAAAGAGUGUUGCACGACCCAAAGCAUUCAUCACACCACCUAUUUUAGGGAUUUGGUGCCUAAUAAUACCUAUUUUGGGCACCAACAAAGCACAAGGAUUUAAGCUCUUGCGAAACAAACCCUCAUCCAACAACUCCUUUACUUGAGGAAUAAACUCAAGCCUAAAAGGUGUGGCAAUGCUAACAAGUGUCUUUUUACAAUGGAGAAAAUGUGGAGGUUGUCUAAGAGGGGAAAUUUCUUUAUUAUUUGUCUUUAUUUCAAAAUGUCUUUCCUUCUUAGCUAACCUCUUGGAGGAGACACUUACCUCCUCACACUCCUCCUUAACCAUUAAAGGUUGUCCUUCCUCUUGGGGGUAGAUCUCUUCACUAGAUUCUUCCCCUUUUGCUUCUUCACUUUUACUAGAGGAAGGUGAAGUAGUAGCCUCAUCUUGGCUACUAUAAAUGUCUUGGCCCCUCAUAAUUAUGGUUUUCUUGGUGGGGCAUUGAGAAGUAAUGUGUCCUCUUCCAAGACAUUUAAAGCACUUCAUGGAGCUAGUCUUCUCUUGCAUACCAGCCUUAAGGGGUUGCUUUUCUAUUGUCUUCCCCUUUUCAUCUUUGGGCUUAGAAGGUGUCACCCCUAAGAUGCCUUGACCUUGGUCUUUCUUUGGAUAAGAGUGAGAGCCAUAAGAUUUUGAAGUAGACUUCCAUUUAAGUUGUUGCUCUACCCUUAUUUCCCAAUCUAAGUUAGCCUCUACAUUGUCCUUCCCAUGGAAGUAUGAGAGGUUAAUGUUAGCCUCUUGAGGCUUUCUUUCCUUUUCUCUCUUAUGGGAGUGAGGUCUAAGAUGUGACCUAUGCCUUCCUUCAUAAUAGUCACGAAGUUCUUCACUUAGGCUCUUGCAAGAGUUAUGACUACUAUAGGAGGCAUGUUUUUCUUUUCUUAACUCUUUGAGUAUUUUCCUUCUUUCUUCUUCCCUUAUUUUCUCUUUUUCAUCUUGACUUAUUUCUUCCACUCUUUUUUUCCCUUUUUCUUUUCUCUCUUUUUUUUCUUUCCACAACUUAAAGGAUCUCAACUCAUAUAAUAUCUUAUACAAGGGGUCCUUAGGAGUAGAACCCUCACCAUUAACACUAGAUGAAGAAUGAAGACUCAUGUUGGUUCCUAAGUUAUGGUUCUUUCUUGUUGGGGGUUUGAAAACAAAAGGUAAAAGAAACUAUGGUUGAAACUAGCCAAAAUAAACACUAAAAGAGGUGUGAAAGAUAAGGUAAAAACUAAUCGGUAAAAGGCAAGCUACCUAGGCGGUUUGACAAUGGAGAGUAAAGGAAAUAACCUAUGAAAGUAAGCAAGAAAUUGAAGUGCAAGAAAUGCAAACUAGGCGGAUCCUAAGAGUGUUUGGAUGACCUCAUUUAAGGUUCCCAACAAAACACUCACUAUCCUAAGAGAAAAUUGCCUAAAAUUAUUACACACAAAUGGAAGUAGGGUGACCUAUUGGAGGCUCCCAACUUACUUCCAAUGAAAGGCCUUUUUGUUACAAAAUUUGAAACCAAAGCAAAUUGCCAAUUACAAAAUUACAAAAAAAAGUCCUUAAUUGUGGUGGCUAUUCUCUCUUUGGUGUUUCACUCAAUUUGGAGUGCUUCUUAGUCCAAUAGUUCUUAAGGUGGUUGGCCCCUUGCUUCUUGACUCAAAUUCUUCAAGGUAUGGCAUCAAUCCUCCUUUCCAAUUCCCUAUAUGGCAACUCACAACCAAGGAAACAAAGAGACAAGCAAUAACCAAAGACCAAGAAAUAUGAAAUGAAAGCUAAACCAAUAGAGUUUUAACAAGACAAAUUUCAAAGGAUUAUUCAACAAUUAAAGCAAUGAAAAGCACAAAAAAGCAAGCUAGGACUCAAAGAGAAACCUAGAAUGGCUCUAGAGUAGAGUAGAAAAACUAAAAAGAAAAAAGACUCAAGAAACCUCUAGUUUUGGCACUUGUUUUCAAAAUAAUUUUCAAUUGAAAUUUCAGAACUAGGAUUGGUAUAAAAUAUGCACCAAUUAUAGAGCAAAUUUUGAGCCAAAACAACAAACACACUUUCCUUUCACUUUUGUUUUCCUGGACACUGAUUUUUCUGCCAACUUGUGCGAUUUUUAAUAUUUUUUCCUUUAAUCCAAAUCGCUUGGUUAUUUUUUUAUAAUUUUUUUCCAGAUGUCUAGAAAAUUCAGUAAAAUUUUCAGCUCCAAAAACGUAGUGGGCAAUUCCCAGUAAUUUAUGAAAGUUUGUAUGUUCAAGCUGCCAGCACCAGCGAUUUCAACCUAGAAAUGAAGAGUAGUGUUUAUGUUGCUUAAGGCUUGGAUAGUUACAAUUUGUGUUUGCUUAUGCUCAAUUAUCUUGAAUAACACAAUUCAAGAGAGCUUAAGACUUAUUUUGAUUCACAAAUCCAGCCACAACUCAGCACCACAACUCAACUUCAUCAUAGGCAUCAUGUAGGAAACUUAGAAAACAAAAAAAAGUUCAAGAACAAGACUACUUCUAGGAAUUGAUUUAGAACAUGUUAUGAACUAAAUAACAUGCAUGAAUUAGACUCAAAAUUCAAAAGAUAGGCUAAGAAUGACAAGAAUACAUGAACAAAUGUAUCUAGAAUUCAAUCAACAAAAUAAAAAUUCAACACAAACUUAGAACAUAAUGUGACAAUUACUAUGACUAAACAUGACUCUAAGACAACAUGGAUUAAGUGAUUUACACUUAGAUUUUUGUGUUUUUUUUUCUAAUCAAUAUUUUGGAAGAAAAUUUAGAUCUAAGGUUUAGCACAAGAAUAUUAUGAAUGAAAAAUGAUAGAACCUAAAAUCAACACAAAAACAUGAUUCAAGAGUAGAUCUACAAAAUUUGAACCAUAGCAAUGCAAGAACAAGUGUAGAUCUAAGAUUUAAUCGAUUUAUUUAUUAUUAUUUUUUGAAUCUACUCUAAACAGCACCAAACCACAAGACAAUGGAGGAUAUACAUGGAGAAUAAGAUGAAGAACAAGGAAUUAAAGAGAAUUCACCGAAAAAAAAGAUAGAGGAAGCAAAAGAACAUCACCUAGAUGAAGAUGCUCUUGAUACCACAUGAUGCAAGCUCCAUUGGAGCUUGUAGGCCUAGGAUCUUCUUCAUCAAUGAAUUACUUUGCUUCUUGGAAGAUGAAUGGCAGCGGAAUGGAGAAAGGAAGAGAGAGAGAGGAGACGCCACUUCAAGAAGAAGAUGAGUCUAGAAGAAGCUCACCACCAUAGGAGGCCAUGGAUAAGAGCUUGGAGGAAGAAGAAGAUGAAUGAAGGGAGAGGGAGAGAAGAGCACGAAAUUUUGUGCUCUAAAUGAGCUUUGAAAUCUGAAGUUUAAUAUUCAAAUGAUCAAAGUUGAAAAAAAUGCACACACAUGACCUCUAUUUAUAGCCCUUAGUCACACAAAAUUGGAGGGAAAUUCAAAUUUCACUUGAAUUUGAAAUUGAAUUUGUGGAGCCAAACUUUGGAGCCAAAAUUUCACUAAUUAUGAUUAGUGAAUUUUAGUUAUGGUUCAGCCCACUAAUCCAAGAUCAAUUCCAAGAUUCUCCACUAAGUGUGCUUAGGUGUCAUGAGGCAUGAAAAGCAUGAAGGACAUGCACAAAGUGUGACUAUAUGAUGUGGCAAUGGGGUGUAGUAAGCAAAUGCUCACCUCCCCCUCUAAAAUUUAAUUGGAUUGGGCUUCUACCAAUUCAAUUAAAUUUAUUUCCAACCACACACAUCAAAUAUCCACUUAGUGCAUGUGAAAUUACAAAACUACCCCUAAUACAAACACUAGUCUAGGUGCCCUAAAAUAUAAGGGCUGAAAAAUCCUAUAUUUCUAGGGUACCCUACCUACAUUGUGGAGCCCUAAAUACAAGGCCCAAAAAUAAUGAAACCUUAAUCUAAUAUUUACAAAGAUAAGUGGGCUCGUACUUAGCCCAUGGGCCCGAAAUCUACCCUAAGGCUCAUAAGAACCCUAGGGCCUUCUCUUGCAUCUCUGGCCCAAUCUCCUUGGAGUUUUCUAUCCAAUGCCCUUGCGGGGUAGGAUUGCAUCAGAAAGAGAAUAGACUCUUUCACAAGAAAUCUAACUAUACAUGUAACCAUACAAUGCGUCCCAUAGCGGCUACGCAUACUCAAAAAUGUCUUUUUCAAAGAAUUUCCUCUCUGGCAAUCGAUUACCAAAGUAUGUAAUCGAUUACCAGUGCCCAAAAAUGAAUUACACAGCCUUUGCACAUUGGAACCUAAAAGUUACACUGUGUAAUCUAUUACACAUAAAUGGUAAUCGAUUACUAGUAGCAGGUAGCACUAUGGAAUCGAUUACACACAAUUGAUAAUCGAUUACCAGAAGCCAUUUAACAUCCCGCCUCAAUUUUUAACCCUUGUAAUCGAUUACCCAUGAAUGGUAAUCGAUUACCAGAGGGUAUUUUUUAGAUAACACCCAAGAUAAAUAUCUGGCCAGCCGCCACACAAACCUCCUUGCUUCGUGGACUUUAUUCUUUUAUUGGUUGACUUCCAGGAGCUCGCCUACUUAGGUACGUCACAGGUUCUCACUGACUGACUAUGCCCGGGUUGGGUCGGGAUUAGCCAAGCUUGGUUUAGGGCAAUAGCACCCCACCUGACGUCCCCAAGGUCUCCUGACCCCAGUGACAUAUCUCCAGGUACCACUCUGUGGUCAACAAAUAAAAGUAGGAAGACUGACUCUUUCACGCUUUCUCACCUCAAGCUUAUUGGAUUAUGGGGCACCCGUCAUAUGUGGUACUAGGUGGUGAUCAGGCGAUGGCACAAAUCAAUUCUCCCAUUUCCACAAGUCAGGCAUAAACACACCAUCCCCAGUUGCCCACCUUUACAUUGAGCUCACGCACUCCUACGUAUCCCUUAUCCUCGUUCCUCUCAGCACCGGGUCCCCAUCAACCCUUCCAAGCUUUCACAAUAUCCAAACAAUUCAAUUUCAUUUGUCAUGAAACUACCCUAAACCAAGAAAACAGAUUGGAGGCAGAAAACUCUGCACAAAACUCAUUCAAAUUCCACAGUUUUUCCUACUCACAUACCCCAGUAACAUUCUCUUUGUUCUGAUUCGUUAACCGUUGGAUCGCCUUGAAAAUUUAACUGGAUGUUCUUAAUACAUAAAUCUAAAUUUUGACCGUUGGGAUCUACUAGAAAAUAUCUAUAACACGAGUUUUACUGCCUUUCCCGUGACCAGCACUGCACCACUAUUUUUCUGCAUAAUAGGCAAAAUUUACUACACAAAUUUGACAACUUUUGCUGCACAAUUUGACAGAUUUCGAAUUUUAGCUUGCUUGUGUCCAAUUUCACUCAAAUUGGAUCCUACAAGUCCUAAACCAUGUCCAAAUCAUGUUCAAAACAAAAACAAACUUCAAACCAAGGUAAAUCAAAAUAUAGGUAUCCAAAACCCACCAAUUUAGUGCAUUUUCAAGGUUUGAAAGGUGAAAAUGAAAAUUUGGUAAUUUUGGGUUAAACUCUCAUCUUUAUCAAGUCUAUAACAUUGAUUUAGACUUGCUCAAACUGGUUUUAAGGUGAAAUCUCCACCUAUUCCAAAUUUGGCCUCUCAACACCCAAUUUACCCUAGAAAUGGUUCUUACCUUCCACAUUUGUCAUUCAUUUUUCUCAUUUGCUCUGACCAAGCUCUCCUACAAGUCCUAAUUGACAUUUUAAACAAGAAUCAACUCACUUUAGACUCCAAUUUCCACUAACCCCAAAUUUGGCUUUUCUAACCCUCACAAUUUCACACUUUUCCACCUACAACACUACCAUUCUCACAUUUGACUCUAAGUUAGCUCUCCUCAUCAUCUCUACCAGUUUUCUAUCAACAUUUUAAGCAUACACAUAUCACAAAGCAUCAUUAUAAAACCCCAAAUCAGAAUGGGUAGUUUUGCUCACAUCAAACAUGUCAAGUUUAGCAUGAUUUCAACAAAUUCCUUCACAAAUAACUACCCUAAGGCAAUAAUCUAGUAGCACUACCCAUUAUAGCUCCCAAAAACCCAACACCCACAAAUUUCAAGUGAGAAGAAGUCCACCCUUACCUGAAAUUUGAAG
This 6719-nucleotide long non-coding RNA is filed under the name Glycine max (soybean). Its description in RNAcentral is "long non-coding RNA (GMAX_LNC002231)". Lineage: Eukaryota; Viridiplantae; Streptophyta; Magnoliopsida; Fabales; Fabaceae. The record is from RNAcentral.